GACGAACGUUGGCGGCGUGCUUAACACAUGCAAGUCGAACGGAAAGGCCCUGCUUUUGUGGGGUGCUCGAGUGGCGAACGGGUGAGUAACACGUGAGUAACCUGCCCUUGACUUUGGGAUAACUUCAGGAAACUGGGGCUAAUACCGGAUAGGAGCUCCUGCUGCAUGGUGGGGGUUGGAAAGUUUCGGCGGUUGGGGAUGGACUCGCGGCUUAUCAGCUUGUUGGUGGGGUAGUGGCUUACCAAGGCUUUGACGGGUAGCCGGCCUGAGAGGGUGACCGGCCACAUUGGGACUGAGAUACGGCCCAGACUCCUACGGGAGGCAGCAGUGGGGAAUAUUGCACAAUGGGCGGAAGCCUGAUGCAGCAACGCCGCGUGCGGGAUGACGGCCUUCGGGUUGUAAACCGCUUUCGCCUGUGACGAAGCGUGAGUGACGGUAAUGGGUAAAGAAGCACCGGCUAACUACGUGCCAGCAGCCGCGGUGAUACGUAGGGUGCGAGCGUUGUCCGGAUUUAUUGGGCGUAAAGGGCUCGUAGGUGGUUGAUCGCGUCGGAAGUGUAAUCUUGGGGCUUAACCCUGAGCGUGCUUUCGAUACGGGUUGACUUGAGGAAGGUAGGGGAGAAUGGAAUUCCUGGUGGAGCGGUGGAAUGCGCAGAUAUCAGGAGGAACACCAGUGGCGAAGGCGGUUCUCUGGGCCUUUCCUGACGCUGAGGAGCGAAAGCGUGGGGAGCGAACAGGCUUAGAUACCCUGGUAGUCCACGCUGUAAACGGUGGGUACUAGGUGUGGGGUCCAUUCCACGGGUUCCGUGCCGUAGCUAACGCUUUAAGUACCCCGCCUGGGGAGUACGGCCGCAAGGCUAAAACUCAAAGGAAUUGACGGGGCCCCGCACAAGCGGCGGAGCAUGCGGAUUAAUUCGAUGCAACGCGUAGAACCUUACCUGGGUUUGACAUGGAUCGGGAGUGCUCAGAGAUGGGUGUGCCUCUUUUGGGGUCGGUUCACAGGUGGUGCAUGCCUGUCGUCAGCUCGUGUCGUGAGAUGUUGGGUUAAGUCCCGCAACGAGCGCAACCCUUGUUCACUGUUGCCAGCACGUUAUGGUGGGGACUCAGUGGAGACCGCCGGGGUCAACUCGGAGGAAGGUGGGGAUGACGUCAAGUCCUCAUGCCCCUUAUGUCCAGGGCUUCACGCAUGCUACAAUGGCUGGUACAGAGAGUGGCGAGCCUGUGAGGGUGAGCGAAUCUCGGAAAGCCGGUCUCAGUUCGGAUUGGGGUCUGCAACUCGACCUCAUGAAGUCGGAGUCGCUAGUAAUCGCAGAUCAGCAACGCUGCGGUGAAUACGUUCCCGGGGCC
This 1346-nucleotide ribosomal RNA is filed under the name uncultured bacterium. Its description in RNAcentral is "bacterial SSU rRNA". It matches the Rfam family "Bacterial small subunit ribosomal RNA", at positions 28 to 1381 of the family's 1533-position model. The record is from RNAcentral.